UGACCAUAUUAGGUUGAAACACGAGUUCUCAUAUGAUCACCAAAGUUAAACAAUGGUGAGGUUGGCCAGUACCUGUAUAGGUGACUGCUUGAGAAUACCUGGUGCUGU
Non-coding RNA from Acanthosepion pharaonis, 108 nucleotides. Lineage: Eukaryota; Metazoa; Mollusca; Cephalopoda; Sepiida; Sepiidae. The record is from the annotation of a GenBank genome assembly.